Molecule: ribosomal RNA, 468 nt
Filed under: uncultured bacterium
Lineage: Bacteria
Description: partial 16S ribosomal RNA
Rfam family: Bacterial small subunit ribosomal RNA
Source: RNAcentral
GACGAACGCUGGCGGCGUGCUUAACACAUGCAAGUCGAACGGAAAGGCCCGGCUUUUGUGGGGUGCUCGAGUGGCGAACGGGUGAGUAACACGUGAGUAACCUCCCCUUGACUGUGUGAGAACUUCAGGGAACUGGGGCUAAUACCGGAUAUGAGCUCCUGCUGCAUGUGGGUGGUUGGAAAGUUUCGGCGGUUGGGUAUGGACUCGCGGCUUAUCAGCUUGUUGGGCGGGUAGUGGCUUACCAGGGCUUUGACGGGUAGCCGGCCUGAGAGGGUGACCGGCCACAUUGGGACUGAGAUACGGACCAGACGCCUACGGGAGGCAGCAGUGGGGAAUAUUGCACAAUGGGCGGAAGCCUGAUGAAGCAACGCCGCGUGCGGGAUGACGGCCUUCGGGUUGUAAACCGCUUUCGACUGUGACGAAGCGUGAGUGACGGUAAUGGGUAAAGAAGCAACGGCUAACUACGUG